Rosa rugosa (rugosa rose) is the source of this 2377-nucleotide RNA transcript. It is a transcript of the gene named probable methionine--tRNA ligase, with no coding region annotated. The record is from RefSeq and is a predicted model, not a curated record. Lineage: Eukaryota; Viridiplantae; Streptophyta; Magnoliopsida; Rosales; Rosaceae. The transcript has 14 exons.
GAGGGAAAAAGAAAAAAAAAACCACCCAACCUACCCCUAACCUCUCGCCGUCAAACCCCCUCUGAAAUCUAGAGAGAGCACGCACGCACGCCAUGGGAGACCUCAAGGAGGAGGAAGAGGGCCUCCUCAAGCUCCCCAUCCCCGGCCAACGCAACGUCCUCAUCACCAGCGCGCUGCCGUACGUCAACAACGUCCCUCAUCUCGGCAACAUCAUCGGCUGCGUUCUCAGCGCCGACGUCUUCGCUCGCUACUGCCGUCUCCGGGGAUACAACACCCUCUAUAUCUGCGGCACCGAUGAGUACGGCACCGCCACCGAGACCAAAGCCAUGGAGGACAAGUGUAGCCCCAAGGAGAUCUGCGAUAAGUACCAUGCGAUUCAUCGCCAGGUGUAUGAGUGGUUCAAUAUAAGUUUUGACAAAUUCGGGCGAACUUCGACGCCGGAGCAGACGGAGGUGUGCCAAGCCAUUUUCAAUAGGCUGCUGGAGAAUAAUUGGCUCUCUGACAACACAAUGCAGCAGCUCUACUGUGAUACUUGCACACGGUUUUUAGCCGACAGGCUCGUGGAGGGGACGUGCCCAACGCAAGGUUGUGCUUAUACUUCUGCAAGAGGAGAUCAGUGUGAGAACUGUGGGAAGCUUUUAAACCCUACCGAAUUAAAGGAUCCAAAGUGCAAGGUCUGUAAGUCGACUCCACGGAUUCGUGAUACAAACCAUUUGUUUCUGGAAUUGCCUUUGCUGAAGGAUAGGUUGGAAGAGUAUAUUAAUAAAAUGUCAGUGGAGGGGUCUUGGAGCCAGAAUGCCAUUCAAGCAACAAAUGCGUGGCUCAGAGAGGGGCUUAAACAACGGUGUAUCACCAGGGAUCUGAAGUGGGGGGUUCCAGUUCCACAUGAUAACUUCAGGGACAAGGUUUUCUAUGUGUGGUUUGAUGCGCCUAUUGGAUAUGUUUCAAUUACUAAAUGCUACACUUCAGAUUGGGAGAAAUGGUGGAAGAAUCCAGAGGAUGUGGAGUUGUAUCAGUUUAUGGGCAAAGAUAAUGUGCCAUUCCACACGGUGAUGUUUCCUUCCACGCUUCUUGGAACUGGUGAAAAUUGGACUUUAAUGAAGACAAUUAGUGUUACUGAAUACUUGAACUAUGAAGCAGGAAAGUUUUCCAAGAGUAAAGGGAUUGGAGUAUUUGGAAACGAUGCCAAAGAUACAAACAUUCCUGUUGAAGUAUGGCGAUAUUACUUGCUAACCAAUAGGCCCGAGGUGUCGGAUACAUUAUUUACAUGGGCGGAUUUGCAAGCGAAGCUCAACAGUGAAUUGCUGAAUAAUUUGGGCAACUUCAUUAACCGAGUUUUGAGUUUUGUUGCCAAACCUUCAGGUCAAGGAUAUGACUCCAUUAUUCCAGAUGCUCAAGAUGCCAUCUCUGAUCCUUUGACAGAGAAAAUAGCUGAGAAAGUGGGUAAAUAUGUGGAGCAAUAUGUAGAGGCCAUGGAGAAGGUAAAACUAAAGCAAGGACUCAAACUAGCAAUGAGCAUUUCUAGUGAAGGGAAUGCAUAUCUGCAAGAAAGUCGGUUCUGGAAGCUUUACAAGGAAGACCAACCUCGCUGCUCCAUUGUUAUGAGAACUGCAGUGGGGCUAGUGCAUCUUCUUGCUUGCUUAUUAGAACCCUUCAUGCCAUCGUUUUCUGUUAAGGUAUUUAAGCAGCUUAAUCUGCCUCCUGAGACGCACAUAUCACUUUGUGAUGAUAAAGGUGAUACUGAUAGGGCAAGACGGCCAUGGGAGAUUGUACCUAGAGGUCACAAGAUUGGGAAACCAGAGCCGUUGUUCAAGGAAUUGAAUAAUGAUGAAGUAGAUUCUCUAAGGAAGAAGUUUGCUGGAAGUCAGGCCGAUAGAAAGGAAAGGGAAGAAGCUGAAGCAGUGAAGUUGGCUGAGCAGCUCAAGAAAUCAAAAGUUUCAGACAAGAGUGGAAUUCCAUGAGUUUUCUCGGAUUAGUAUCUAAUUUAUGUGUUCGUUGGUCUGGGACAGAAUCGGAAGGUUGAGUUGGUUGAUCCACCAAUAUCUGCUCAAGUUGGGGAGAGAAUUACAUUUCCGGCGUUCGAAGGUGAGCCUGAUGAUGUGUUGAACCUUGAGCAGGUCUGGGAGACCCUGCAGGGUAGAAUUGCACGGUAACACUGAGCUAGUUAGGUGCUACAAAGAUAUUCCCCUCACUACAUCAGCUGGCGUUUGCACUGUUAAAUCUAUUCGUGGUGGCUCAAUUAGGUAGAAGUGGCAUUAAUUCUGUUGCAAGGAAAAGAAGACUUCUUUUUCAUGAUUUUGUGUGUAGAUUAAGAGUACUAUAUUAUUCAGACAGAGUACUAUUUUUGGUAUAGAGUCAGAAAGUACUGUUGCUAAUA